This 465-nucleotide ribosomal RNA is filed under the name uncultured Klebsiella sp. Its description in RNAcentral is "bacterial SSU rRNA". It matches the Rfam family "Bacterial small subunit ribosomal RNA", at positions 338 to 795 of the family's 1533-position model. The record is from RNAcentral. Lineage: Bacteria; Pseudomonadati; Pseudomonadota; Gammaproteobacteria; Enterobacterales; Enterobacteriaceae.
CCUACGGGAGGCUGCAGUGGGGAAUAUUGCACAGUGGGCGCAAGCCUGAUGCAGCCAUGCCGCGUGUGUGAAGAAGGCCUUCGGGUUGUAAAGCACUUUCAGCGGGGAGGAAGGCGUUAAGGUUAAUAACCUUGGCGAUUGACGUUACCCGCAGAAGAAGCACCGGCUAACUCCGUGCCAGCAGCCGCGGUAAUACGGAGGGUGCAAGCGUUAAUCGGAAUUACUGGGCGUAAAGCGCACGCAGGCGGUCUGUCAAGUCGGAUGUGAAAUCCCCGGGCUCAACCUGGGAACUGCAUUCGAAACUGGCAGGCUAGAGUCUUGUAGAGGGGGGUAGAAUUCCAGGUGUAGCGGUGAAAUGCGUAGAGAUCUGGAGGAAUACCGGUGGCGAAGGCGGCCCCCUGGACAAAGACUGACGCUCAGGUGCGAAAGCGUGGGGAGCAAACAGGAUUAGAUACCCUAGUAGUC